CUUGGUCAUUUAGAGGAAGUAAAAGUCGUAACAAGGUUUCCGUAGGUGAACCUGCGGAAGGAUCAUUAUCGUACAAAAUGUGUGAGGCAUGCAAGGGCUGUCGCUGACUUUUGACGCAAAAGUUGUGCACGCCGGAGUGUGUCCUCUCACAUAAAAUCCAUCUCACCCUUUUGUGCACCACCGCGUGGGCACCCCUUCGGGAUCGAACUGAUCCAGGAGAGGGGGCUUGCGUUUUCACACAAACCCCUUUUUAAAAAGUGUAGAAUGACCUCAUCUUUGCGAUAACACGCAAUCAAUACAACUUUCAACAACGGAUCUCUUGGCUCUCGCAUCGAUGAAGAACGCAGCGAAAUGCGAUACGUAAUGUGAAUUGCAGAUUUUCAGUGAAUCAUCGAAUCUUUGAACGCACCUUGCGCUCCUUGGUAUUCCGAGGAGCAUGCCUGUUUGAGUGUCAUUAAAUUCUCAACUCCAAGGGUUUCACGACCUUUCGGAGAUUGGACUUGGAGGUGCUGGCCGCAUAUUGGUCGGCUCCUCUCAAAUGCAUCAGCGGAAUUCAACCUUUGGCUUCCGGAUGUCAGUGUGAUAAUCAUGUUGCGCUGUCGUUUGAUCCCUCAGAGUCCGCUUAUAAUGGUCUUCGGACAAAAUCAUCAUCAAAUUUGACCUCAAAUCAGGUAGGACUACCCGCUGAACUUAAGCAUAUCAAUAAGCGGAGGA
This 714-nucleotide ribosomal RNA is filed under the name uncultured Helotiaceae. RNAcentral's name for it is "eukaryotic LSU rRNA". The stretch from base 300 to 454 matches the Rfam family "5.8S ribosomal RNA". The record is from RNAcentral. Lineage: Eukaryota; Fungi; Ascomycota; Leotiomycetes; Helotiales; Helotiaceae.